Molecule: long non-coding RNA, 235 nt
Organism: Pyrus x bretschneideri (Chinese white pear)
Lineage: Eukaryota; Viridiplantae; Streptophyta; Magnoliopsida; Rosales; Rosaceae
Exons: 2
Source: RefSeq, a predicted model, not a curated record
GGGAGGCUCAGGGACCUACGAGACGUCGAUGUGAUCUGUUCAAGAAUUGCAAAGGUGUGGUGACUACGAGGAAAUUCAACGGUGUUCUGACAGAAUGGACCAAAUGAGGACUCACUUUCGGGUGGUUCAUCUUAGAAGUUGUAUAUUUUAAAGCUUCCGAACUGUGUAAAUGGUUACGUCACUCUCACGUGACGGCCAGCAUGCCCUCCUUCGGGACGGGGUGUGUCACUCAUGC